RNAcentral lists this ribosomal RNA (406 nucleotides) under uncultured bacterium. RNAcentral's name for it is "partial 16S ribosomal RNA". It matches the Rfam family "Bacterial small subunit ribosomal RNA", at positions 29 to 526 of the family's 1533-position model. The record is from RNAcentral.
AUUGAACGCUGGCGGCAGGCCUAACACAUGCAAGUCGAGCGAGCGGCGGACGGGUGAGGAAUGUGUGGGAAACUGCCUGAUGGAGGGGGAUAACUACUGGAAACGGUAGCUAAUAACGCAUACGAUAAGAUGGGCCCAGAGGGGAUGAGAGGGUGGGGAGGGUAACGGCUCACCUAGGCGACGAUCCCUAGCUGGUCUGAGAGGAUGACCAGCCACACUGGAACUGAGACACGGCCCAGACUCCUACGGGAGGCAGCAGUAGGGAAUAUUGCACAAUGGGCGCAAGCCUGAUGCAGCCAUGCCGCGUGUGUGAAGAAGGCCUUCGGGUUGUAAAGCACUUUCGGCGGGGAGGCGUUACCCGCAGAGAAAGCACCGGCUAACUACGUGCCAGCAGCCGCGGUAAUAC